UACGUAGGGGGCGAGCGUUAUCCGGAUUUAUUGGGUGUAAAGGGUGCGUAGACGGGAAUGCAAGUUAGUUGUGAAAUCCCUCGGCUUAACUGAGGAACUGCAACUAAAACUGUAUUUCUUGAGUGCAGGAGAGGAAAGUGGAAUUCCUAGUGUAGCGGUGAAAUGCGUAGAUAUUAGGAGGAACACCAGUGGCGAAGGCGACUUUCUGGACUGUAACUGACGUUGAGGCACGAAAGUGUGGGGAGCAA
RNAcentral lists this ribosomal RNA (248 nucleotides) under uncultured Oscillospiraceae bacterium. Its description in RNAcentral is "partial 16S ribosomal RNA". It matches the Rfam family "Bacterial small subunit ribosomal RNA", at positions 524 to 771 of the family's 1533-position model. Lineage: Bacteria; Bacillati; Bacillota; Clostridia; Eubacteriales; Oscillospiraceae. The record is from RNAcentral.